This 73-nucleotide transfer RNA is filed under the name Bifidobacteriaceae bacterium. RNAcentral describes it as "tRNA-Ala". It matches the Rfam family "tRNA". Rfam says of the family: Transfer RNA (tRNA) molecules are approximately 80 nucleotides in length. The record is from RNAcentral. Lineage: Bacteria; Bacillati; Actinomycetota; Actinomycetes; Bifidobacteriales; Bifidobacteriaceae.
GGGGCCGUGGCGCAGUUGGUAGCGCAUCUGCUUUGCAAGCAGAGGGUCGCCGGUUCGAAUCCGGUCGGCUCCA